UGGGGAAUUUUGGACAAUGGGGGAAACCCUGAUCCAGCCAUCCCGCGUGUGCGAUGAAGGCCUUCGGGUUGUAAAGCACUUUUGGCAGGAAAGAAACGUCAUGGGUUAAUACCCCGUGAAACUGACGGUACCUGCAGAAUAAGCACCGGCUAACUACGUGCCAGCAGCCGCGGUAAUACGUAGGGUGCAAGCGUUAAUCGGAAUUACUGGGCGUAAAGCGUGCGCAGGCGGUUCGGAAAGAAGGAUGUGAAAUCCCAGAGCUCAACUUUGGAACUGCAUUUUUAACUACCGGGCUAGAGUGUGUCAGAGGGAGGUGGAAUUCCGCGUGUAGCAGUGAAAUGCGUAGAUAUGCGGAGGAACACCGAUGGCGAAGGCAGCCUCCUGGGAUAACACUGACGCUCAUGCACGAAAGCGUGGGGAGCAAACAGG
RNAcentral lists this ribosomal RNA (429 nucleotides) under Acidobacteriota bacterium. Its description in RNAcentral is "Acidobacteria bacterium partial 16S ribosomal RNA". It matches the Rfam family "Bacterial small subunit ribosomal RNA", at positions 355 to 776 of the family's 1533-position model. The record is from RNAcentral. Lineage: Bacteria; Pseudomonadati; Acidobacteriota.